UUUUUUUUUUUUUUUUUUUUUUUUUUACAAGAAACAUACUUCUCUAACUGAACACACUUUUCCAACCUUGAGGGUAUUCUAAGUUGCCACUCAAAAAUCCAGUAAGCAAAGAACAUAGAAGAUGCAGGCAUUAAAGAGACGACAUCAGCAGAGUGUAGAGUAGCAACAAAACUAAUUAAUCAUUUCGCAUGUAGUAUACAACAGGAUAUAAUUCAAUAGAAGAAAUGCAAACACCCUGCAUUUGUCUGGACUGAUCAACUGUGGAAAUACAUGAUCGGAAAGGCAAGUUUGACAGCAGUUCUACCAAGGGCCAAGGGGGUCCGGAUCACAGAUUGAACACAAGUCAGAACCAUGCUGUAGAGAAAAAAAAACUGCAUCACAGGAGGAUGUGUAAAGAAAAAGGUCAGUUAGAUGAGACAUGAAGCAACUUUACUCUGCUAGGUUCUGUCAGUAAGAUCUCUGUUAAGUGUUGGACUUCAGAAGAGAUUGGACCAAUUUGACAGAAAUUGGGGAAACAACUGGAAUUAUAAGAGAUCUAGAAGAUGUCCUUUCUUUAAUAACCUACUACAGCUAAAGACUAAUGAAACUAGAAAUAUUUAGUUAAAAAAAAUACAAGCAUCAAUAAAGAUGAGGUAAAUAUGCUCUCAAUCUCAUGGAGUGAGCACAGGGAAUAAUAAGUUCAAAUUGAAGCAAAGGAGAUUUUGAUUUAACAUGAUAAAUGAUUUUCCAACAGUUGCAAUAGAAAAAUGACAAUGCUGCCUAAAGAGAGGGCAGAACAUCUUCAGAGGUUUUUCAGGAAGAAAAAGGCAAGUAUUAUCUAUUUAUUUCACAAUGGGAAGAGUUUAUCCAGCCUGAAGGCAAGGAAAUGAACCAGGAGCCACUCAAGGUACUCCUAUCAUCAUAAGCUUUGCAGAGCCAGGGCCAGGCUUGAGCUCUGGUACCCAGAUACCCCCUAAGAUGCCAUUGGUGUUCUCAGCAGGGCUCAGUCCUGUGCUGGGCACUGUCCUGGGGAUUGAAACUCCAAAGAUUGGUCUCAGCAGUCACUAUGGACACAGCCUUUGCACCCAGGGGAAAAAGUAUUCAACUACACUGGCCUCAGGGCCAUAGCACUGGCCAUUGCCCUGUUGCUUUUAUAGGUGGAGAUUAGAAGUGCCCUCUGGUCCUAGUUUCUGUGGGCAUUUCUGUACCAGGCUAUUUUUGACAAGAGGAAUCCAAAAGCCCUCUCAAAAUAUGUGCAAUUUAAAUGAAUAAGCUUUUUUGUAUACAACAGCCAUCCAGUUCUGGGGCAUUCGUGCAGUUUCGCUGCACUUAGCAGCCCCGUAUAAAUAACAUAUGAAAGGAAAUACUCCAUGUGUAUGCUCAUAAAUUCAAAAUAGUUAUAAUAAUUCAUUGCAAUGUUACCAAGAAGAAAGUCCCACUAUUCUAAGUACUUCUACAAAUCAGUAGCAAGACGGACUCCCUGUCCUAAACAUUGCACGGUGUGGUCUGACACAAGAGCAGAGGGUAAGAUGACAUGAUGAUGUAAGCCACUUGAUUCCAAAAAGAUUUUUUUUGAAAGAAAAAAAAAAAUAUAUGAGAUUGCCCAUAGCUAUUUUCAGUAUAAGGUACAAAUAUUUAGCAUUUCCUCCUCCACUGAGGCUUAAGUCAGUUGUCAGGAGGUUGAGCUCAGUAAGGUUUAUGCAGUGGUGCGACUGCUUCAAAAUUUCAUCUUGUUCAAACAAACGCAUCAGUCCAUCUGUAACAUGCUUGUCUAGGUUGUUUCCAUUUAUAAAGCUUCAAAGGGCUGGGCAGUCAGGAGAUGAGUCAGGAGCUUUUACCUACAGAUACUGACCUAUAUUUAGAUUUCUCAUUGUAAUGGGGAGAAGAGCGAAACAUGGUCUGGUUCAAGAAAUACAGCUUAUUCAAGCUGUAGUCAAGUUCCAAGUGCAUCUGCUCUUCUGGCCUUGCACAUUUCUAAGCACCACGGAGACUCUGAGUAUCAGCACUUCAGAAAAUUGUUUCCUUAAAAGAAAUUCAAAGAAAUGUUGCAAAAUUGGCCCAUAUGUUUCCUGCCAUAGUGACAAUAUCAUGGACAUCAGGGUUAUUUUCUUUUCCAUUCAAACCACCAUAAAAAAAAAAUAACAGCACCACAGGCAUGGACAUAAGCUAGUAAGUAACAUCUUAGUGCACUGAUCUGCUUGCUGUUCACAGGAGGGCUAAUGAAUAUAUUAGCUUUAGAUAGGAUACCAUUAGUAAUCUAUGCAUGAAUUUUGUUACAUAGCCUAAACCCCAUCUAUCCCAUAGAACACAAAUGCACAACUAUCACACACAACUACAUAAAAAGGUGAGUUGUGGGGGAAAAUAAUCAUUAAUUCUUUCAUAUAUUAGUCCUACACAGUGUGAAAGGUGUGGUAUUGAGGUAUAAGAUUUCACAGUUGAAAAAGGGGCAGUACUACACUACUAGCUUCAAAUAUGGUACCCAAUUUAACGUUAAUUUAACCAUUCUGUUUGGGUUUUAGGACAUUUCUAGUGAUUCCUACCACAUCCUAAUCCUCUCUGUACCAAAUCUCAAAAACCUCACUAAACUGAUGGCAAGAAGAGCCCCUGGCAUUUGAAGAAAUCAGAUCUAGAUGCACACUAGUUUCUGUAAGCAAGUACAUUAGUAACUCAUCUUUAAGGGACAGACAGUGAAAAGUCCCCCCUAUGCUGUAAAGAGAAGACUGCAAUCAGCCGUGGAUCUUCUUGAGAAUGGGAGAAGGAGCUUAAUGAAUCAAAUAAAUGCUCCAUAGGAAUUGAAUUUGACAGGGUACACUGACUAAAUUAUGCGCUUUCUGAUGAUGAGGCUGGAUCUAAAGCAGCUCUUCUAGAAAGCGUAAUGUGGUGUUGGAAAAAAAAAGAGUGCCAACAAAAAUGAUUGGCUCAAUGUUUGGUGCUAUGUGAAAUGGCCUUUAAAACUCAGGCAUACUAUCUAUCCCUGUUUUUUUACUGUAUAAAUGCACUUUGCACUUGCAUUUUUCCUAGCAACAGUACAUUUAUACUCAUCUGCCUAAAUUAUUCCUGAAAAGGAACAAAAUACAGCUCCAUAGCACAAGGAAAGGAGGCAAUUAUAGGUAGAGUUAAUAAAUCCACUUUGACUGCCUUCUCCUUUCAGAGCUGCAUCCUAAGCCCAUCAUUAGAAGACACAUUUUUGAUAAAGCACAGUAGGAACCUCCGAAAAGCAAUCCAAAAAAACCUCAUGCCUUUGCAGAAAAUGGCAGAUAUAAAGGCUCACAGCACCAGACUUACAGCAUAAUCUGCUGCUGAGCAAAGGUUGGACCUGGUGGCCUCCAAAGGUCCUUUCCCACCUCAGCCAUUCUGCAGUCCUGCAGUAUAGCAGUGCCACACCAUUGCCUUGGCUGAGUUUGAGCAAGAGCACAAAGCAGUAUAGCAGAAUUACUGCAGCACUUGGUUUGGGGUUGUAUAUGCUGCUUCUCACAGCAUGAUUUUGCCUCCUAUGUGACACACCUGCAAGCAAGAACACAUCCCUGCAUCCUGCUAGCAAAGGCAGGAAAGUGCUAAUCUAUAUUUUCAGGAACAUCUUUUUUAAAUUAAAAAAAAAAA
This is a long non-coding RNA of Gallus gallus (chicken), 3579 nucleotides long. Lineage: Eukaryota; Metazoa; Chordata; Aves; Galliformes; Phasianidae. The record is from Ensembl.